RNAcentral lists this ribosomal RNA (253 nucleotides) under uncultured bacterium. Its description in RNAcentral is "partial 16S ribosomal RNA". It matches the Rfam family "Bacterial small subunit ribosomal RNA", at positions 524 to 776 of the family's 1533-position model. The record is from RNAcentral.
UACGUAGGGUGCAAGCGUUGUCCGGAAUUAUUGGGCGUAAAGAGCUCGUAGGCGGUUUGUCGCGUCUGCUGUGAAAACUCAGGGCUUAACUCUGAGCUUGCAGUGGGUACGGGCAGACUAGAGUGCGGUAGGGGAGACUGGAAUUCCUGGUGUAGCGGUGAAAUGCGCAGAUAUCAGGAGGAACACCGGUGGCGAAGGCGGGUCUCUGGGCCGGAACUGACGCUGAGGCGCGAAAGCGUGGGGAGCAAACAGG